CGAACGGGUGAGUAACACGUGGGUAACCUGCCCAUCAGAAGGGGAUAACACUUGGAAACAGGUGCUAAUACCGUAUAACAAUCGAAACCGCAUGGUUUCGUUUUGAAAGGCGCUUUACGGUGCCGCUGAUGGAUGGACCCGCGGUGCAUUAGCUAGUUGGUGAGGUAACGGCUCACCAAGGCCACGAUGCAUAGCCGACCUGAGAGGGUGAUCGGCCACAUUGGGACUGAGACACGGCCCAAACUCCUACGGGAGGCAGCAGUAGGGAAUCUUCGGCAAUGGACGAAAGUCUGACCGAGCAACGCCGCGUGAGUGAAGAAGGUUUUCGGAUCGUAAAACUCUGUUGUUAGAGAAGAACAAGGGUGAGAGUAACUGUUCACCCCUUGACGGUAUCUAACCAGAAAGCCACGGCUAACUACGUGCCAGCAGCCGCGGUAAUACGUAGGUGGCAAGCGUUGUCCGGAUUUAUUGGGCGUAAAGCGAGCGCAGGCGGUUUCUUAAGUCUGAUGUGAAAGCCCCCGGCUCAACCGGGGAGGGUCAUUGGAAACUGGGAGACUUGAGUGCAGAAGAGGAGAGUGGAAUUCCAUGUGUAGCGGUGAAAUGCGUAGAUAUAUGGAGGAACACCAGUGGCGAAGGCGGCUCUCUGGUCUGUAACUGACGCUGAGGCUCGAAAGCGUGGGGAGCAAACAGGAUUAGAUACCCUGGUAGUCCACGCCGUAAACGAUGAGUGCUAAGUGUUGGAGGGUUUCCGCCCUUCAGUGCUGCAGCUAACGCAUUAAGCACUCCGCCUGGGGAGUACGACCGCAAGGUUGAAACUCAAAGGAAUUGACGGGGGCCCGCACAAGCGGUGGAGCAUGUGGUUUAAUUCGAAGCAACGCGAAGAACCUUACCAGGUCUUGACAUCCUUUGACCACUCUAGAGAUAGAGCUUCCCCUUCGGGGGCAAAGUGACAGGUGGUGCAUGGUUGUCGUCAGCUCGUGUCGUGAGAUGUUGGGUUAAGUCCCGCAACGAGCGCAACCCUUAUUGUUAGUUGCCAUCAUUUAGUUGGGCACUCUAGCAAGACUGCCGGUGACAAACCGGAGGAAGGUGGGGAUGACGUCAAAUCAUCAUGCCCCUUAUGACCUGGGCUACACACGUGCUACAAUGGGAAGUACAACGAGUCGCAAAGUCGCGAGGCUAAGCUAAUCUCUUAAAGCUUCUCUCAGUUCGGAUUGUAGGCUGCAACUC
This 1227-nucleotide ribosomal RNA is filed under the name Enterococcus mundtii. RNAcentral's name for it is "bacterial SSU rRNA". It matches the Rfam family "Bacterial small subunit ribosomal RNA", at positions 99 to 1313 of the family's 1533-position model. Lineage: Bacteria; Bacillati; Bacillota; Bacilli; Lactobacillales; Enterococcaceae. The record is from RNAcentral.